Molecule: ribosomal RNA, 449 nt
Filed under: uncultured Lachnospiraceae bacterium
Lineage: Bacteria; Bacillati; Bacillota; Clostridia; Lachnospirales; Lachnospiraceae
Description: bacterial SSU rRNA
Rfam family: Bacterial small subunit ribosomal RNA
Source: RNAcentral
GAUGAACGCUGGCGGCGUGCCUAACACAUGCAAGUCGAGCGAGAAGGUAGUGAGUGAUUCUUCGGAUGAGUGAUCUACCAGACAGCGGCGGACGGGUGAGUAACGCGUGGGUAACCUGCCUUAUACUGGGGGAUAACGUUUUGAAAAGAACGCUAAUACCGCAUAAGCGCACAGUAUCGCAUGAUACAGUGUGAAAAACUCCGGUGGUAUAAGAUGGACCCGCGUCAGAUUAGCUAGUUGGUGAGAUAAUAGCUCACCAAGGCAACGAUCUGUAGCCGACCUGAGAGGGUGAUCGGCCACAUUGGGACUGAGACACGGCCCAAACUCCUACGGGAGGCAGCAGUGGGGAAUAUUGCACAAUGGGGGAAACCCUGAUGCAGCGACGCCGCGUGAAGGAUGAAGGAUUUCGGUUCGUAAACUUCUAUCAGCAGGGAAGAUAGUGACUGUAC